UCGCCUGUUUAUCAAAAACAUGUCUUUGUGAAAGUUAAUAUAAAGUCUAGCCUGCCCAGUGAUGUUCGAAUUUAACGGCCGCGGUAGUAUGACCGUGCUAAGGUAGCAUAAUAAUUUGUCUCUUAAUUGGGGACUGGAAUGAACGGUUGAACAAGAAAUUAACUGUCUCUAUUGUAAACUUUGAAUUUUACGUUUAAGUGAAAAGGCUUAAAUAGGAUAGGGGGACGAUAAGACCCUAUAAAUCUUUAUAUUUUGGUUAAUAAAUUUUAGAAAUUAGUUAUAUAUUUAGUAUUAUUGGGCUAAAAUAUUUUGUUGGGGCGACAGGAGUAUAAAUAAGUAACUGCUUUGUUUGUAAAUUAAUUAUUUUUAUAUUGGGAAUGUAAUAUUGAUCCUUUUUAGAGAAAUCAGACUAAGUUACUUUAGGGAUAACAGCGUAAUCUUUUUUGAGAGUCCAUAUCGAAAAAAUGGUUUGCGACCUCGAUGUUGAAUUAAAGAUCCUUGAUGGCGUAGGGGCUAUUAGAGGAGGUCUGUUCGACCUUUAAAUCUUUACAUGAUCUGAGUUCAAACC
RNAcentral lists this ribosomal RNA (568 nucleotides) under Panulirus gracilis. RNAcentral describes it as "partial 16S rRNA". It matches the Rfam family "Bacterial large subunit ribosomal RNA", at positions 1796 to 2617 of the family's 2925-position model. Lineage: Eukaryota; Metazoa; Arthropoda; Malacostraca; Decapoda; Palinuridae. The record is from RNAcentral.